UGGUCUUCAGAAAGUUUUCUUG
This 22-nucleotide non-coding RNA is filed under the name Arabidopsis thaliana (thale cress). The record is from RNAcentral. Lineage: Eukaryota; Viridiplantae; Streptophyta; Magnoliopsida; Brassicales; Brassicaceae.